GUCAGGUUGGCCGAGCGGCCGAAGGCGCCAGAUUUAAGAGAUUGUCGUGUCUUCUGGUUCACAUUUGUGCGCUUGGGUUCGAAUCCCACAUCUGACA
Molecule: non-coding RNA, 97 nt
Organism: Paramuricea clavata
Lineage: Eukaryota; Metazoa; Cnidaria; Anthozoa; Malacalcyonacea; Plexauridae
Source: the annotation of a GenBank genome assembly